UGUGAUGUAUGCCACUCAAAUGUUAUUUAAUCCUAAUAUUUCUGAAGUUGUUGAAUUCAGACAGAGUAUGAUUGAGCAAGGUGUCAAUGGUACCCAGCCACUGUUUAUUGCAAAUGAGGGUAAAGUUCUCUCCUUGGAAGAUGAUUUCAUGCGUUUAACUAGAAAAUGCACUAUUGAAGAGCUUCAAGAUAACAAUCAGGAGGGUUCUUUUAUCAUUUUUGGUGCAAUCCAAGGUAUUGUUGAGGAUGAAGGUUGGUGGUAUUCUGCUUGUGUGUGUGGAAAGGGUAUCUAUCCUUAAAAUGGUGCAUAUUACUGUGAUUUUUGUUUGAAGCACAUAACUAAUGUCACUCCAAGAUUUAAAAUUAAAAUAACAGUUGAAGAUCAUAUUGGGGAGGGUAUUUUCCUUCUCUUUGAUCGUGAGGCUUCUUAUUUGCUUAAGAAAUCAUGUGCUGACUUGUUUACUGAGGUUCAAAGAGAUGCAAGUCUUAUAUGUGGGGAUACUUAUCCUCUCAUAUUCCAAGGGCUCAUUGGAAAGAAGUUGCUGCUCAAGGUUGAUACCAAAGGUGUCCCACAUGAUACAUUUUAUGGGACUUUCUGAGUUAGGAGAAUUUGUGAUGAUUCCACCAUUAUUGCGAUGUUUGAACUUCCCAAUUAUGAUGCUGAUGACGAGUCUACUCCAAAAAAGGAGCAUGAUUUACACAAAUCUGUUCUUUGUGGA
Arachis ipaensis is the source of this 718-nucleotide non-coding RNA. The record is from RefSeq and is a predicted model, not a curated record. Lineage: Eukaryota; Viridiplantae; Streptophyta; Magnoliopsida; Fabales; Fabaceae.